RNAcentral lists this long non-coding RNA (1372 nucleotides) under Monodelphis domestica (gray short-tailed opossum). Its description in RNAcentral is "lncRNA (ENSMODG00000043088.1)". Lineage: Eukaryota; Metazoa; Chordata; Mammalia; Didelphimorphia; Didelphidae. The record is from RNAcentral.
CUUGUAAAGAAUAUAAGCCACUAUAGUAAACUGCAUGGAAAUUCCUUAGUGAUGUGGAAAAAGCCUGUCACUAUGUCAAGACCUCAAAAGUCACUGCUGAAAACAUGCAUAUCAUGAAUUUAUAGGCAGAAGAAUUGGCCACAUUUUAUGCCUUAGUCCUCAGGUAGUGGAGCAUGGCUACAUGGUAAUGAGAGUAGGUGGGUAAAAAGAAGAUGCUGGCAUCAUUUUGUAAAUUAGAGGAAUUCCGAGUGCUUACCUUUAGAAACCAAGGUAUUAGACGCAAAAGAGAAGAUGAUAAAGUUCAGCAUGUUGAUAAAAAAUGCUUAUGUUCUAGCAAGGUCAAGUUAGAGAUGGGGAAUGCAAUUAGAUAUCAAACAAAAACAAAACAAAAUACAAUUUUUAUUCUCCUUGUUGCUAUGGCAGUGCAUGGCAUUGUAUUAGAACUUGUAUUAUGAAUCUUACCUAUAUUACAUAUCUAUAUCACCUUCAUAUAAAUCAUUUAAAUUUUUCCAGAUUACAUGUGAAUACAAUUUAUAACAAUCAUUCCUUGACAUUUUGUGAUCCAUGUUCUUUCCUCCCUCCUCCUUUUCAACCCUUCACAACAAAACAGUUAAUAUGUUGUAGACUAUAUAUGUGUUUUCAUAUAAUACACAUUUCCAGGUUUCAUGUUGUGAAAGAAGAAACAUAUGGCUUACGCUAGAGAAAAUACAUGGAGGAAAUAAAAUGAAGAAUGCCAUGCUUCAAUCUGCAUUCAGACUCUGUCAGUUUCUGCCAUGGCAGUGGAGAGCCUUCUUUCAUCAUGAGUCCCGUACAGUUGUCCCAGAUUGUUGCAUUUAUGAUAAUACAUUUGAAAAGAAAAGACCAGACCUGAACAGAAAAUUUGAUGCCCAAGCACAGAACUCAAGAGAAUCAUCAAAAGUCAUACUUAUGUCCUCUCCUGAACAUAGACUCCUCUCCAUCAACUCUAAAUUUUUCCUGUUAAAAAUAUGAAGCUUUGAGAAGACUUAAAUGAGCUGAUGCAAAGUGAAAUAUCAUGAUUGCAACUCCUGCCUUCUUUGUAUCAGUUGAGGCCCAGAAGGUCUUACUCCAUCCUUUAAUGCUGACCUUGUGGGUGUCUACCCACCUCAUGUGUGUUUCUUGAAGACAACAUAUGGUAGGGUUUUGGAUUCUAACCCAUUGUGCGAUUCAUCGACGUUUUAUGGGUGAGUUCAUCCCAUUCAUGUUCAAAGUUAUGAUUGUGACUUGUGAAUUCUCUGGCAUUUUGAUAUCCUUCCCUAAUUCUAACCUUUCUUCUUUAGCUCUAACCUUUUAAUCCUGUGAUUUACUUUAAAUCAGUCCCCCUUGUCCCCUCCCUUGAUAUGUUUCCCUUUCU